GACGUAGGGGGCCAGCGUUGCUCGGAAUUACUGGGUGUAAAGGGUUCGUAGGCGGUGUGGCAAGUCGGGAGUGAAAUCCCUGGGCUUAACCCAGGGGCUGCUUCCGAGACUGCUGUGCUUGAGUGUGGGAGAGGCGCGUGGAAUUGCAGGUGUAGCGGUGAAAUGCGUAGAUAUCUGCAGGAACCCCCGUGGCGAAGGCGGCGCGCUGGUCCGCUACUGCCGCUGAGGAGCGAAAGCUAGGGGGGCAAACAGG
Molecule: ribosomal RNA, 253 nt
Filed under: uncultured bacterium
Lineage: Bacteria
Description: partial 16S ribosomal RNA
Rfam family: Bacterial small subunit ribosomal RNA
Source: RNAcentral